Long non-coding RNA from Alosa sapidissima (American shad), 129 nucleotides. RefSeq lists it as uncharacterized. Lineage: Eukaryota; Metazoa; Chordata; Actinopteri; Clupeiformes; Clupeidae. The transcript is spliced from 3 exons. The record is from RefSeq and is a predicted model, not a curated record.
GCACCCUAGCGGCAGCAAAUGUAAUUUGUAGCCAGGAUAUUCUAGCAACUCACUGUUGGCGUGCAAGCUGGAAAAACCAAACUCUAGUCAGGCCAAUCACAUUGUGUAUAGAGUCGGUGGGUGGGCUUA